Molecule: ribosomal RNA, 468 nt
Filed under: uncultured bacterium
Lineage: Bacteria
Description: partial 16S ribosomal RNA
Rfam family: Bacterial small subunit ribosomal RNA
Source: RNAcentral
GACGAACGCUGGCGGCGUGCUUAACACAUGCAAGUCGAACGGAAAGGCCCUGCUUUUGUGGGAUUCUCGAGUGGAGAGCGGGUGUGUAACACGUGAGUAACCUGCUCCUGACUUGGGGAUAACUUCUGGAAACUGGGGCAUAUAACGGAUAGGAGCUUCUGCGGCAUGGUGGUGGAUGGAAAGUUUCGGCGGGUGGGGGUGGACUCGCGGCUUAUCAGCUUGUUGGGGGGGUAGGGGCUUACCAAGGCUCUGACGGGGGGCCGGCCUGGGAGGGGGACCGGCCCCAUGGGGACUAAGUUAGGGCCCAGACUCCACCGGGGGGCAGCGGUGGGAAAUUUUGCACAAUGGGGGGAAGCCUGUGGAGGCAACGCCGCGUGCGGAAUGCCGGCCUUCGGGUGGUAAACCGCUUUCGCCUGUAACAAAGCGUGAGUGACGGUAAUGGGUAAAGAAGCACCGGCUAACUACGUG